This 610-nucleotide long non-coding RNA is filed under the name Vigna radiata. RNAcentral's name for it is "long non-coding RNA (VRAD_LNC010361)". The record is from RNAcentral. Lineage: Eukaryota; Viridiplantae; Streptophyta; Magnoliopsida; Fabales; Fabaceae.
UUCUCCUAUGUUAGUGGCUACAUGUCCUCCUUCUAAUGGAGAGGGUUUUUAACUUGGUCUCCAAGCUAGCCAAGUUGAAGCUUUUAGGGUUUUGCUUCUACAAUUUGGAGACACCUUAAGCCUAUAAAUAAAGGUUUCUCCCUGCUAUGUAAAUUCACCUUAGAAUUAAGUACUGUUUUGCUGCCAAAUUUGUGUUAUAUUACUCAACUUAGGUUACCAAGGCUAAAACACUCCUUCUAUGUUUUCUCUAGCUACCCUCCUUCUUGAGUUAGCCUAAUCUCUCUUUGGAGAGCACAUCAAACACCACUAUUACCACCAUCUCCCCACAUCAAACCUACUAUAUGCGGACAAUAUUCCCACCACCGUCAAGCUUCCGCAAUCACCAAAGCUUCAGUCAUAUAGCUUGGAGGAGCUUAUUACAUCAUUUGAUAAUUAGAUCUUAGUUUAUUUUUGUUUGCUCUUGUGUUUUCCUAACCUUGUCUUGUUGUAGUUAUUUUGAAAUAGUCAAAAUCAACCUCCCUUACACACAAAAAAAUUUUGGCAAUAAACAUUGAACAAGGUACCCAUGCUGCAAAUAACCAUAAGCUUUUUUAAAUUUUGUAAAGGUGUU